This 40076-nucleotide long non-coding RNA is filed under the name Fragaria vesca (wild strawberry). RNAcentral describes it as "long non-coding RNA (FVES_LNC000146)". Lineage: Eukaryota; Viridiplantae; Streptophyta; Magnoliopsida; Rosales; Rosaceae. The record is from RNAcentral.
AUAAAUCCAAGUGUCGGCGGUCCUCUAUCUCUACUGUGCAGCUCAGAUUCGAGGAAAGUGUUCGAAAUCUCACAUGCAAAGGCAAAAUUAUAAGAGGGUGUCUUUUUUUUCCUUCUUCUUUUCUUUGAAUGCCAGUCUGAUCAUCACCAUCAUCAUCAUCAUUCGUCAGUCAUCACUGUAUAUAUAGUAUUUCUGGAAUUGAGUACUGAUUAAGUUAGCUAGUUAUGUGACUACGUCUUCUUUUUUGAAAUUUUGAUUCACUCUUGCGAUUAGGUUUUACUACUUGGGGACCCGAGAGGGCUAUAUAGGUCAGGUUUCUGUGUGCUUGUUUACUGCUUAGAGCGAGAGUGAGAUUGGGAAGCCAUGCAUUGCUUUUCCAAGACCAGGAGUAAUGAUGCUAACAUGGUAUAUAUAUCUCAAAGUUGAGUCAUUUCUAACUCUGAGAUUCCAAAGAGGCUAGGUCAAUUACAUUGCUAAUUUCAUAAGCAACAUAUAUAAGUGGUAUUGACCAGAGUGAAAGGAAAAGAAUAAUAAUUUUGCAUGGUUUUUAUAGUCAAUAGUUUGCUUUUUUAGAAUUAAGGUUUACUCAUGUUUUUACUCAAGUUGUAAGGGACGGUGGAGACUUGGUACGGUGAAAACAGUUUACUAAACAUUCAUCUGCUUCAUCUCACAACAAUAUUAGAAAUGAUUUUUCUCAUAAUGAUUGAUUUUAAAAGUUAGAACUGAUUCUUCUCACAGCACGUACGUAUAACAAUAUCAAACUGGGUAGUCUUUGUAGUAAUUAGAAUCAAUUACUUAUAUAUAUAUACUAUGAUAAUUAAACACUACUAAACUCGGCUGACCAUAUCUACGAUCGACUAAACAAUCAUAGCAGAGUUAUAUGGAAUGGAGGAUCAUGAAGAUAGAAAGGCACAUGUUAUGUCUACAUAUAAGCAUGCAAUUCAAAUCCAGAAAGAAAGAAACAUUUCCUUAAUUUCCUUAACUUCUUUAUAUUGUCUUCAUCAAUUACCAAACUUCAAUCAGAUCUCAAAACUUCUACUCCUUACCUUUACCAAACAUAAUUAAAUUCAUGACCAAAAUAUAAAACAACCACAAAAAUCAACAAAAUCCAAGUCUUGAAGAUUUUACACUGAUAAUUGACACCACUUGUGUAGAGCAGGUAGGAUCAAAUUCAAUGAGAUUCUAGAUAGAAAUCAUAGAAACACAAUAAAUAAAAAGGCAUUCAACCAGUGAAGGGCUAGCUAAGGGUGGACCAAUAUAUACAUAAUUAAUUUGUUGAAUAAUCUUUCACAUUUUUAAAUCAAACACAGUGAUGAAAUUCAGUCAAUUUUAAGAAGAUUUGAAUCAACUUAAAAUAUUGGAAACCCUUUAGUCUUUAGACUAAUGCAAGCCACGUACACAGACAAAUAGGUCACUGGCCAUGCAUGCAUAGUUGUUUUAUACCCACCUUUAACUACUGUAGAAAUUCAACAGUAUCAGCAAUUACUGAUGAUCUGGGUGAAGAUCAUAACAAAAUCGACAGGAUUUGAAAGAAUAGAUAUACAAAAUAUACAAAAUGGAAUGAAAGUGAAGGGAAAGCAGAUAUAGAUGGAUAUAUAGAAAAGAAAGUGUCAUUUUCCGGAAUUAAAGAAAAGGAAUUCGAAUUAUAAAUAGACAAAUAGUUCAGAAAGAGAUGUAAGAGCAUCAGAAUAAACAGUUCUUUUUCCAAAAGGAAAUUAAAGCCAGAAUGGGAUGGCUCAUGUGCUUCUCUUUAACAAGAAAACGCGUCUCUUCCACAGCUUGCAAGCUCAUCAUCUUCUUGUCUGGAUUAAAAGCUUGGACGACUACUUCAAUGGUGGUCAAGAAAACCCAGAAUAUAUAUAUAUAUAUAUAUAUAUAUAAGUUCAUCAUAUAUAUUGCGUCAUUAUGACAUCAUGACUUUGUUGCAUUGCCUGGGUUUGUUAAGGAAAGCUAGCUGUGAAUUGAUUCCUGAGGGUUAAGAAGAGCUAGAAGCCAUGGAUAUUCCGGUUGUUGUUAAUCUAUUGGCAUUAUUAGCAUCAUCCCACAUGCACGUUAUUUUCGUAUUUAAGAUUUGGAUUUAUUUGUUAAUAAAAACAAGAGAGGGUGUUUAUGGAUGAUAGAAACUCAGGGAGGCCAGCUAGCAAUAUUACGAACAAUAUUGCUACAGCUAUAGUUUCUAACAUUACUCAUUUGGUUGGGAUAAAACAAAACGAAAACAUAUAUGAUGCGUAACGUCUCAAUAACAAACCUUGAUAGCUAAGACUAUGACGUGAAACUGUAUAAUUCAUAACACUAAAUUAAUGAGAUAUAUGACAUACCAUUGAACAAAAUUACGCGUUGUAUUUGUCUAAUAAACUCUAAAUGAAAGAUGAAUCACUAUCUUAUACCAACUCGAAGUAACAUAACAUGUUCAUAAAUUUCUUAAUUCUCACGAUUAAUCGUUAUCGUAAAUAUGUCCGGACAAAUACUAUUGCUUCAUCAUGUUCAUAACUUCAUAUAUAUAUGACCCCAUCUAUUGAUUUUUGGAAAGGGACAAUGCAAUGUUGCCUUUUGACAUAUCAAAAUGCGAUUUCAUUUUAAUGUGUUCAAUGCACCAAACGUAGAAUAUAUAGCUGGUAUACCCCAUAACUUUAAGUUCUCAUGUGCUUAAACAUGUAGGCGAUUCGUCUCUUUGGUGUAAUUAUGAUUGGAUAUGAACAACCACCUCAUGAUCUGAUUCCCUUUCCCUUUUCUCUCCAAGCAGAAUAGAGUACCUCCUAAAGUUAAUGGGAUGAAGAACAUUCAAACAUAUAUGCCGUGGAUUGGAGCUUCUUGACAUGGCUCGAGGUCGACCCAACCACAGCUACCGCUAUAAUAUUGGACUUUUCAUUGUUAGGGAAAUCUUCGCUUUCUCUUUUAUGCCGAUCUGUCGGAUUGUCUUUGGGGGAGUACUGCAAUGCCAUUGAAACCUUGAGCAGUUGAGCCCCUGUCAUAUUGAUUUCUCAAUGGAAUUUCUCAACUGCACUAACCACUAGCUUGUACUUGAGACAUGUAAUUGCGUUCGGAUCGCGCUACAUAUGCUGACCCAGUUUGGUGAAGAUUAUUUGUUAGCUACGAAAAGCCAUUAUAGGAUGGUAGAAAGUUUGUUCUCAGUAAUUCAAGAAGCGAAAGGGCUUAGCAACACCAACACGAGCAUAUAUUCGGUUAAACCGGACCAUUUUAGGCACUCUGAUCCAUUGUAUUGUCGGAGCUUAAUUAUACAUGAAAUUCGAUUUCAUUCUUCUUAACUUUCUUGAAAAAGAAAAAAAAAAGAAAGAGAAAAACUAAGAAAUGUGAAAGAAGGGCCUUGGUACUGUUCCAGGUGAAUCCAUGUAUCAAAAUUUAACGUGUUUUGCACAUUAUACAUCUAAGUUAAAUCUAAACCAAAUUGUGAGAAUAUGGAGUACAACACGUCGAACAAUAUUAUUUAAGAUAUUCGUAAUGGGCUUGAUUUAGUGAUUACACUAGCAACCAUGGACAAGUGAGGCUGCACUGAUUCUAGCAUAGUUAUCAUUAGCCCAUCUCUGUGUAAAGAAAAGAUGGACACUGGAGCAUUUGCUUUCGUUCGAGUCAUUUGUAUAAAAAUCCUUAUUAUGGGCCAGCUUCUUCCAAAUUAGCUUAAUACAACUCCAAUUGGUACACGGAACUAUGAUCCUGUUAUCGUAAUAAUAAGGGGUUGGGCCGUAAUGUUUCUCUGUUAUAUUUAACAGUUUCGUUAGUCAAGGCUUCAGGGAAGCUGCACAGCCUGCAUUGGUCUUUAUUCAUUAAAAAAAAAACAAAGUCAUUUUCAAUUAGCUUUUAAAGUUCGUGACACUUGAUAUUUGGAUUAACCUUGAGCUGACCCGCUUAAUAAUAAGUGUUUUUUUUUUUUGAAUGAAAGAGGUCAUACUUUAUUAUAAGAAAAAGAUUACAGAUAGAUGAUGUAGAAACCACAUCCAGAAAUAAGAGAGAUACGAAAGUAAAAUUGCAACAUGAGCAUCGGCGCUAAAACAAUAACACCUAGACUCGGUUAUACGUUUACGGAUUGCAGCCGUUGAGCGAAGUGAGUAGUCGGUGGUUUGACUACCCACACAAAUCCAAUGCACAAAAUGAUAAGAAUCAUUCCGGCAUCGGAAUGAGGACAAUCUUCCACCUGAAGAAUCGAAGCCAACCAAGGGUGAUUCUAGACAAGACCGUAUUGGCAAACGAUCCUUGACGAACAGAUACCAUAACUGUGGGUCAGUCAACCAAUACCAAAGCCAAAGAGAUAGCCAUAACCACAAAAGUGGCAAUAGGUCCAAAAGAAGAACUUGGGUUGAUCCCAGGCCCAAGGUCCGCUCGGAUCCCACACCCAGACCCGACUCCAGACUCGGAUCCAAAUAAUACGUGCUUAAGAAAAUGCAACCAUUUAUUUUGAAAUUGUAGCAAGUUCAUAUCAGUCUCUCACAAAUGAUAUCACACAAUCAAAAUAUAAACAAAUAGUCAUGUAUGUAGCACAUCGACACAAACUGUAUAGUAAGCUCAUUUGCUAAUCCUAUUUCUUCAAUGUGAAUCGAGCCAAGCUCAACUUUUCAAGCAAACAGUUUUUCUAGGAAGCCAAAAUAUAUAGAUGGGCUUCUUAGACGGAUAGACGAUGAUCGAGAAGAAAUAUAAUCUUUGCUCUCUUGAAAUGUUUGGUCUUCUAGCUGCUUCGAUUGAUGGAUAGAAUCAUGAGAAACAAAAGGAAGAUGAAAAUGACAGGUUCCGAAUUCAGAAGAGAUUGAUUUCAAUGUGAUUCUGUGUGUACUCUCUAGUUUAUGGGAAAGUGACGCCACGUAGUUUCCACAACUUUGAUCCUAUCUAUCAUGCAUCAUGAAUCAAUAAUUCUUGAUACAUAAGCAGCAUAAGCAACUCUCCUUUCUCUCUUCCAUUCUAGGAUAAUAAUGUAUUUGUGUUCUCACCAUCCAUAAUCUUUUACAUUCGUUCGUGCAUUUUCCUAACAAAGUUUUAAAGAAAUCACUGCAAAUAUAACUUUCACUUUGUAGAGUUCUUCGUCGAUAAAAAAUUUCGUUAUGUUGUGCAGCAUCCACACCAGAACAACUAUUAGACUAGCAAUUGGUUCACAUACUCUUUUGCAUUCAUUCAUACUUUUCUCGAACAAAGUUGUAGAGAACUCAUUAUAAGUGUCUUCGCUUUAUAGAAUUCUUGAUCACUCAAAAUUUUCAAAGGGGUACGUUACAUCAUAACAACUGUUAGAUUAACUCAACAAAGUGUGUCUAAUUUUGAAUUUGACAAAAUAAUUUGAUGGAGUUGCUCUCAGAACCAUAUACGUACAUAGAAACAAGAACCAAAGAAGAAGAUGAGGAUGAAGAUGAAGGACCAGGUCACCGAAGCUUUUGAUGUGAUUGAUAACAAAAAUAAAGUUGAUCCCAUAAUUACAUUUUAGUUGCCAAAUAACAUCACUAGAUUUAACUGCACCGGGAAAUCUCGCAGACGCCGGCGGUGAACUCGGGAUCUUUGGGUGAGGGGAGGAGACUGACGAGGAGAUCGGAAAAUGCGCCGAUGAUGAACUUGUGAGUGCUCUUAGGGUUGAGCGCGAGAUAACACAGGAGCAGCUCAUGCAGGAACUCCCAGUUAGAUUUGACCUUCACGCUCUCGUCCUCCGUCUGGUGCUCACGCGCCUCCACCAUCUCCUGCAUGGAGCGCCGGAAGUCGAGUUAGGGGUCGGGCGAGUAGGUGGGCACUUGAUAACAUGAUAUUCAUGGCUAACCUGACAGAGCUUGAAGGUUGAAGAAGGAAGCAAAACGCAGAGAGAAAACACAGCCACACAAAAUUUAUUCAAACAUAAAAUGAUCUCAGCAUAGCAUUCUAUUACAACCAGCUGUAAUAGAAACUAAUUAGGACAACAUUAAGGCUGACUGACAGCCGUCAUACAUACCAUUAGCUAAGGAAACUAAUUAGGACAACAUUAAGGCUCUAAUUAACCAAGUACUGAUUAACUAAAGAACAACUCAUUAUUUAACACCGCCACGCUGUUGUGCUUGAAGGGCGCGUGGAGAAGAAGAAGAGAUGGGAGGCGAAGACGGCGGCGGCGGCGGCGGUGUCUGUGUCGUUUUCCGUUUCUGUGGUGGAGAGAUCGGAAGACUUAAUGGAGCAGGAGGUGGUACGUGGCGGAGUCGAAGAAGGCGUGGUCUUCGUCGUAGAGGGAGUUCAUCACCCUGAAGGCGGUCGAGGCGGUGGAGGUUGUUGUUCGACGGGAGGUGGUUUGAUAGUCAAGGGUGGCGGCUUGUCCUUUGGGGCUCUGUCAUCCCUUCCGCUUGGCAUUCUGUGAGAGAGAGAGAGAGAGAGAAAUAAAAAGAGGAAGAAGAAGAGUGGGAGAUUUAGAGCAUCUGCUGCCGUAUAUGAUAAAAGAAUGGAGACGUCUGGAAUACACCGGAGUGUCCGUGCUCCGGAUAUGUUUUCUGACAAAAGUAAAAAGUAAAUAAACCUGUUUACCCAUCACGGAGUUGCUAGGCGCGUCGGUAUUAGUUUUAAUUUUUUUUGUUAUUGUUUUCCCUUUGAUAAGUUUUAUGGGUUGGAUCCGGCAUUAGGCGGCGGUAGUGCGAAACGCAGUUUAGGUCUGGGUAUCUGUCCACCAUCUGUCAUCGUUCUUUGUUUUCUGGGUUGGAUCCGGCAUUAGGCGGCGGCGUAUUGAGAUCAUCUAUAACUGGAUCCUAUUCCGUUGUGCUGUUUUCGUAUAUCUGGAAACGGGCCGUGUCGAAACCAUUCUGAUCGAUCUCCCAUUCGAGCGUAAAUCGAUCUCCCAUUCCAGAGUAAAUCGAUCUCCUAUUCGAGCGUAAAGGUAGUCGUUGUUGAUAUGAAACAAACUUGUAUCAUAGUUCAUUCCUGUAAUGAUUUAUAGAUUGUUGGGUGCGAAUAAAAGCACUCAUUUUUUUGAAUAAAAUCAGUUAACGUGCGUUGUCUGAGGUGGCAUCGCAGCAGCGUCGCAAGGACUACGUUGAAUCCGUUGUAAGUUUAAAAACUUCAAAACCCUGUUUUUAUGAGAUGGAGGUUGAAAUAUGAAGUUUUGAUAACAAGGCAUAAAUUUAUGUUUCCAUGACAUAUUGUAUUAACGCCGUUGGUUGAAUCCUUUGCUUUGUUGUGCAGGUCGAUCUCCUCCUGUCCGUAUUUGCCGCCGAACUUAAACAGUCCCCAUGGGUCUGUUCGGAAGCAGCUUCAUUCACCUAUUUCUACCCAGCCAUAUGCACAACUGAGGUUAACGACUAUGACUCUGGUGUAUGCGUCAUCAGGAAUAUGCAGUUCUACGGACAGCGUUGGUAUGAAGGGGUCAGUUACCAAACCAUUCUUUAUGUUUGAAGCGCAUAGUAAAGCGUAAUUGUCGUUGAAUCUCUUAUCUGACCAAUUAUCUGCAUGCCUAUAUGUAUUGUAGUACAAUUCUGGUGAUCAGAGAAUGAGGAUCGCCCUUGAAGUAGUCAACAGCCCCCUCAACGAAUGUCGCGAUGAUGUCUGGGAUUGUGUAUACCUUGAGAAGAAAAAUGCCAGCAAUUUGCAGGAUCGUUCAGGAUCUGAAACCCUUGAUCCUCUACUUGACCGGGCCGGAAUGAGGUUGAAGCCUCGUCUUCCUCGCAGAUGAAGUUAGCAGGUGUUGUGGUUGUAUGAAUAUCUGAAAUCGCCCAGAAAUUUUGAUGCGGGAAUCUGUAUUUGCAUGACAUAACAAUUAAACUUUGACUGUGGUUGUGCAUUUUUCGCAUUCAUACUGGGAAAAUAUGUUUCGAUGUGUCAAGACUAGUGUUGAAUAACUGUUUACGGCCUUCCUUGUGUGGUGCCUAUGUAUGGGGUUAUAUCGAGAUUCAAAUAUAUUUGGCACGACCGCCUUUUAUUGAAUGUGAAUAAGUAGAGUAUAUAAUCAACAGGUUCGGAUGUUCAACCCAAUAUAUUAAUAGUAGAUUUAGUAUCCGCGGCAGUUUGUAAUUGAAGCUGAAGAAUACUCGCCAACAAUACACGUUGCUCAUACACUAUAUACAUAUCACAGUGAAAGUGGGGCUAUUACAAAAACAACACUUCAUUGUGUCAUGUCCGAAAUAAUAAAAUGCUUCAAUAGUUAUGGUUUGUAGGUUCAGAAAUCAGAGUCUGGAGUAGUAUAAAAGUUGAGGGCACAAUCAGUUACAAUUUGCAGUCCAAAAUCCUGACAAAUUCUUUUUCCACCUCGCAUAUCUGUCAAAUACAGCACAAUAUAAGAAUUUACUCAUAGUACAAAAGGUAAUGAACAUGAAACUGAAAAUGAACUUAUCUGAAUACAACUGAGAUCUAUAACAUUGAGGAUAUCAGGUAAAGAUUGAAGGAAUAAUUUCAUAUAUCAUUGCCAAUUGUAGGGAGCUGAGAGUACUAACAGUGUAGCAAGUGUACAAUCUGAAAGAAACAAUUCCAAUUGUUUCCUUUAGACCAACAGUACUAACUAAAAUUUACUUUUAAUUGGAUCAAAAGCUAAUUAAGAUUUUCUCUGCCUUUUUACUGUGAGACACCAAAUGAGAUCAGUUUUACAUUCCUUUUUGAAAUCUUGUAUUCAUUCAAGCUUUCAACCUAGAAACCAGUGAAAAAUUAAACAAAAUCUUUGUGUCACUGUCUGAGCACAUAAAGAAAUACAAUCAAAUCCCAGAUGGACUAAAAGCCAUGUAAAAUCGGAAAUUCUUAAUCUUUCAACAGUUCAACUGAGUCUGACUUUUCUUAACAUUAAUAUGAUGCUAUCUGUAACCAACCAAAGGUGCACAGUUUGAAGUUUUGUUAUUCGAAGAAAACUUAAAUUCCCCGUAGUCUGAAACUAUCUACGAAAUCAGAAACUUUUUCAGAAAAUCCUCCAACUUCAAGCACACUUCCAUUUUCCUUAUCACGAAAUGUAACACAUGCACUUGAAACAAAAAUCAUAUUCAAUGACUUAAUGUCCCUUAUUUAAAUCAGCAAAUAAAGAAGAAAAAAAUAACAUAAGUGCGUUACAUACUGAAGAAAUCAAACAAUCGCAAAACUGAGAUCCCCUUGUCAAUGACAGUGGAAUAAUAACAAUUGACAUCGAACAUCUUAAAAAACGGUGGUGUUAGAUUUAAAUUAGAACAUACAAAUGAGGUGUAAUAUACCUGAACUUGAAAGAGCUAUAUAUGAGAGCUCACUGUUCACAAAGAUGGUUAUUGAACUGGUACCCAGAUCUGCAAUACAAAAAAGAAAAAAACAUUCAAAUUCAAAACAAAUUCUAUGCUGCAAAACCAAAUAUGUUGUUCAAGGUCAUUUUGACAAAAUUGGACCAAAUUCUAUGCUGCAAAACCAAUAUGUAAACUACUUGCAUCUGUGAGACGAUCCCAUCGUUGACAUUAAUACGCAGGGUGCAGCAUUGUGUCCAGCAAACCAAGUCCUUACAAACACUAAUUUUUGUGGGCCAACAAGAUACAUGUCUAUCGUCGACCCGUUACAAAAAUCAUAAUUCUGCUUAAACGCCAUAUAUCCAUCCACAAACCGAGAUGUGGACCCUGAUUCACAUAAUUUCAUCGUGCACGUCUCACCCUCCAUUGACUGUAUGGUGAAAGACUUGUCCGAAGUAUGUAAAUAUCUUUGGAUGAACUCAUGCGGGAUGGUCUGCACACAAAUUAAUAUUAACAUUACAAUACAAUCAGUGAGAAUAACCAACAACAAAUUUGUGUUACUUAUUUUGGCAGGGUACAUAAUUACCCCGUGAUCGUCUUGCAAUGUAGAAACGAAUGUGGGAUACAAACGGAGUUGCUCCAAGCUGUAAGUAUCCCCAAGACAUCCCCGUAUGUUUCGUAUUCCAAUAGCGAAGUGUGAUCCCUCCAAAACAAACUGGACAGCCUCCCCUCAGCAUCUUUGGUGUACCUAGCGAAAAAUAACGGAUCCUCCUGCCCUUUUAACCGCAUCCAGUUCACGGCAGCUUCAGCAUCACCAUGCUGUUUAUUAAUUUUUUUUUCCGCAUCCAACCUGUUAUACAAAUCUUUCAGCAAGAAACCCACAAACUCCGCCCCCCCUGAUUGCUUUAGUAGAUAGUCGUAAGCUGCGCUUGUGGAAACUUGUGCUUCUCUCAGCGCUUGCACUUCAUAUAUGUCUUGAAUCAGAACAUGCCUAUUGGAACGCAGUAAAUACCGCUCGGAGACUUGUGCAAGCUCAUGGUUGUGGUCUGUAACAAAUUUGGAUACAUGAUAUAGUCCGGACUUCUUAUUUAGCUUCACCCAUAACAACGCUCUGCAUCCGCUUCUGCUGUAUUUUAUUCCCGAAAAACAGCCUUCUUCUUCCCCUUACACUUGUCACUGAAAACGUUACGCUUUAUCUUCCCUCCUUCCUCAUAUUCAAAAGGAGGUUGCUUAUUAUUUCUUAACUGUUUGCAAUACCCCUCUUUAGAACAGUUCCAGCUCCUUCUAACAACCACCUCAACACCAUUUACUACUAACUUAUCCAUCUUAUUCUUCCUUAUGCUAAACCCCAUAAUAAAUCCAUAAUACGAGUAGAAUUGCUCGGCUUCAUCCAGGUUUCUAAAAGAUAUAUCUUCAAUGUCUUCUAACUUAAGCGUCUUCAUGUUCUUCCCCUCCAAAUGUAAAAACCAAUCUGUCUCAAAUACAGCUCUUAAACCACCUACUUUUACUCCCUCUUCCAAAUCAUUGACACACUUAUUCGAAUCCAUCCCAAUUUUAUCCUCCACAAACUUACCGCUGUCCCCCUUUUCAAUAUUGCUUUUUGCCUCCUCUUUGUAGUCAUCACAAUCUUCCGUGACAUUCGCAAUAUCACUCUCUUUUCCGUCUGAAUCUGUCUGCUGGUAAUAUUUCUCCUUGCUGAACCGGAGACCACCGUCAUCAAUUUCCGGGUCAAUAUUCAUCCUCUACUUCAAUUCAGUAUUAAAAAAAAAACAAUGAUUAUAAUUGUUGUCGCCAUCUGCAGAAAUUUACAACAGUAACAUGUCAGAUAAUGGUAACAAAGGCAUUUACACUUACAAUAAUAAUGGUAAUGGUCACAUUCUGCGUAUAGGAACAUGAUUGCAAGAAAGUUUGAUUCAACUUUGAAGGCAAACCAGCCAUGACUAUCCCAUGGAAGACCACAGACAAUAAGUAUGGCAGCUAGUACAAAUGAAGGACCAUAUUUUCAGCUUCCCAAUUUUUCUGGCCAUGAAUAUCUUAACGUGGAAUGUCUAUAACUAGUACAAAAUGAAAAAGUAACUAUAAUUUUCUUCACUACCAUAAUUAAGCAAGCUAACCAUUCAGUUGUUCAUACUCAUGUCGAUUGUCAUGGGAGGGCAAGGGAAGGUCUGAUUUUAAGUUCUAAUUAGGUACAGAACGUAUCAUUCUCAAUAAUGGCAAAGAAGGUAUUUCUAGCUUCUGCAUUUUGCUGCAGGACAUAAUGUAGAUAUGAUGCUUAUCACAAUGGUAGUGGGAUCAUAACUUGCAAUCAUAACAAUGACAAAUUUGAAUUCUAGUAUAGGGUAUUAGAAUAGUACCCUCGGUUGCUAUACUUAACAACCAAUAGAAGGACAGCCAUAUAAUGUAAGGGACAUGCAACUCUCACAUUGCUUAUCGAACUGAAGUUGAGCAGAAUGUUUGGGUCAUUGGGUGCCUCAGAGAAAACUCAAAAGAGAAAGAAAUAAAGGAGCAAUGGAGGCUGUGGUGCUCAAGCUUCUACAAUUUAGUUGAGAUGCUACCUCAUAUUAUUUUCAACUAGAUCGAAAAUCAAACAUAAAGCAGAUCAAAUUCAAGUAUCAAUUAACCACAACACAAUCAAAAACAAACAUAAAAACAUUACAAAAUUCAUCAAAACAAAAGCAAAAUCCUAAUUGGAAUCGUUUACAUCCAACACAGAAAUCCUAAAAAAACGAAGAAGAAGGGAUCUAGAGGACGAAACAAAACGAUCGGAGAGGAGAAAUUGAGCCUUAAACCACUUACCUUCAAUUCAGCUAGGGAGUCGUGUUCCUGGGUUUCAACAUCAAACGACUCUUCUCUCUCACUCCUUGUAUGGAUCUGAUUUUGUGGCUGAAAACCCAACCGUAUCCCAAUUGAAGCUUCUUCAACACAACUCGACCUUCUUCCCCAAAUUCACUUUAGAUUAAACAAUUGGGUUAUCGCCCAAUCGAAGCUUCUUCAACACAACUCGACGUUCUUCCCCAAAUUCAGAUUAAACAACUGGGUUAUCGCCCAAUCGAAGCUUCUUCAACACAACUCGACGUUCUUCCCCAAAUUCAGAUUUACCCACGUCCGUCUCUGAAUUGCGCUCGAAAAAUUUACCGAUGAGUGCAUAUCACGCGCUCAAAAACCUGCCAAUGGACGAGCGACACGUCAGAAAACAUAUGCGGAGUACAGACACUCCCGUGUAUUCCAGAACUCACCGUAGAAUCUUUUGAUACAACAUGCAGGUGUCCAGACAGACACGUAGGUCGGUGGAGCCGCAUCGCUGACGUAAGUCACGAGCGUGGGCCUGACUGAAGUGGAUAAUCUCACCUGAGUCACCCUUCUUCUCUAGGUUAGAUAUCUCCCUAACAAAACUAACCUGGUUAGAAAAUAAGAUAACCUAUUUUAUAGGUAGAAGCUAAAAAUUUUGGGCUGUGUCACUUUGUCUAUGUAAAUUUAACCUGGGUUGGAUUUUUAGUCACCGGUGGACUUGCUCUCGUCACUUUAUUUUUUUUCUUUUGAAAAUAAUUUAGUCUAAACAUAUCUAAUAUUAGACUCAAAUCAAACAUAUCGUUGGGUUCUUCGUAACGGUAUGAUUUUUAUUACUUACAAAUUUAUAAACAUGAAGUUUAAAGAGAAAAAGAAAUUAUAACUAUACUUAAAAAAAAGAUACAAGUGGAAUAAUAAUAAGGUUACUUGAAAACAAAAAGGUAAAAUGGAACAAAAAGAGAAAAUAAUUAAAAAUAAAAGUGAUACACCUUACCAAAUAGAAAGCUAUAUAUAUGCCUUGUUACUGUAGAUGUAAGGCAAUUUUUUUUUUUUUUUGAGAAACGUGGAAUACCUUACGAUGGGUGAAGGCGGUAAGGUAUAUAUGCGUCUGGUCCAAAUUGUAGCAACUUCAUAUCAGUCUCUCACAAAUGAUAUCACACAAUCAAAAUAUAAACAAAUAUGUCAUGUAUGUAGCACAUCGACACAAACUGUAUAGUAAGCUCAUUUGCUAAUCCUAUUUCUUCAUUGUGAAUCGAGCCAAGCUUAACUUAUCAUGCAAACAAUUUUUCUAGGAAGCCAAAAUAUAUAGAUGGGCUUCUUAGACGGAUAGACGAUGAUCGAGAAGAAAUAUAUAAUCUUUGCUCUCUUGAAAUGUUUGGUCUUCUUGCUGCUUUGAUUGAUGGAUAGAAUCAUGAGAAACAAACGGAAGAUGAAAAUGACAGGUUCCGAAUUCAGAAGAGAUUGAUUUCAAUGUGAUUCUGUGUGAAAGUGACGCCACGUAGUUUCCACAACUUUGAUCCUAUCUAUCAUGCAUCAUGAAUCAAUAAUUCUUGAUACAUAAGCAGCAUAAGCAACUCUCCUUUCUCUCUUCCAUUCUAGGAUAAUGUAUUUUUGUCCUCACCAUCCAUAAUCUUUUGCAUUCGUUCGUGCUUGUUUCUUACAAAGUUUUAAUGAAGUCCCUGUAAAUAUAGCUUUCGUUUUGUAGAGUUCUUUAUCGAUAAAUUUUUUGUUAUGUUGUGCAGCAUCCACACCAGAACACCUAUUAGACUAGCAAUUGGUUCACAUACUCUUUUGCAUUCAUUCAUACUUUUCUCGAACAAAGUUUUAGAGAACUCAUUAUAAGUGCCUUCGUUUUGUAAAAUUCUUAAUCGUUCAAAAACUUUCAGACGGUGCGUUACAUCAGAACAACUGUUAGAUUAGCUCGACAAAGUGUAUUAUAUCCAAGAACAAGUUGAGAUAACAUAAUCAUAAACUCCCCACUAAACCAAACACAACGGAAAUAAUAGUAUUGUAUACAAUCUUGAUAAGCAACGCAAUGGUGGGAUGAAGUCAUGAAGCUCAUGCAAGGAAUUGAAGCACGAUUACUUGUCCCGACCGGAAAAUACCAACGUCAUUGUCCUUACCAGAGAGACGUGGCGCCAUAUGGGCGCUCGGAAAGUGAAACCGAGUAGGAUCCAAAUAGCCAAAGCACACAUGCAUUUGGGAUUUUGAUUUCGAUCACUUCGAUAUAUCAGUGCGUCAUUCAUAGUCCUUAUCAUGGAUUCAUUCAAUCCCAAAAUCACACAUGUCACAUGCCACGUUCCAUCAAACUCAUAUUCAUAAAAAGCUGCUUGCUUGUGAUUUGUGAUCACUUCUCGCUUUCUAACUCCUCCUUUCUCUCUGACUCACUCAACCACCAAACCAAACAAGCUAGAAACUAGAACAAGUUAGAAAACACAACCCAGAACUGUGUUUGAUCCUGGUUUUCAAUUUUGUUUGAUCAAAGCUAGAGCUUUAUGCACAAUGCUUGGGAAUGGGGUUGUUGGGAUCGUCUCGGAGACUGUGAACAAGUGGGAGAGAAGAGCACCAUUGACCCCAUCUCACUGUGCUCGGCUGCUUCACAGUGGCAGUGACAAAACCGGAGUGUCUCGGAUCAUUGUGCAGCCUUCGACCAAGCGCAUCCAUCAUGAUGCAUUGUAUGAAGAAGUUGGCUGUGAGAUUUCAGAGGACUUGAAGGAAUGUGGCCUCAUUUUGGGGAUCAAACAACCCAAGGUUUGCUAACUAAUCAAGAUUGUUACUUUUGGUUUUGCUUAUGUAAGAAUUGUUAUAACAAUUUUGUAUGGGAUUUUGGUGCAGCCGGAGAUGGUUCUUCCGGAUAGAGCUUAUGCGUUUUUCUCACAUACACACAAGGCACAAAAAGAAAACAUGCCGUUGUUGGAUAAGGUAUUGGUUUCUAAUGGAUUGUGAUGUUUAUCAAAUCUUCUGUGAUCUUUUUGUGCAUGUAUAUAGUGAUGUGGUUGUUUUGAUUUAUGUUAGUUGAUGUUUAAUGUGGCGGUGCAGAUUCUAAAAGAAAGGGUGUCUUUGUAUGAUUAUGAGCUAAUUGUUGGGGAUCAUGGGAGGAGAUUGCUGGCAUUUGGCAAGUUUGCUGGUAGAGCUGGAUUUAUUGACUUUUUGCGCGGCUUAGGACAAAGUAUGUUACUGGAUUCAGGUUUAUCAGUUUGUUAUGAUUGAAUUUGGGGAUCAAGUAAAAGUAUUCUCAGCUUUAGCUGGUUUACUUUUAAUGUGCGACUUUAGAGCUUAAAAUAGUGGAUUAUCUGUGCUUUCAUUUCUUUUCCAACAGUUCUUGUUUAUAAUGUUUAGUUGAUUUCAACCUUUAUUUCUUCUCUUUUUCUUCCAAUGUUUGCUUUUCAAGGGUACCUAAGUCUUGGAUAUUCGACACCAUUUCUUUCGUUGGGUGCUCCGUAUAUGUAUUCAUCUUUGGCUGCUGCCAAGGCCGCAGUGAUUUCUGUUGGAGAAGAGAUAGCAACUCUGGGAUUGCCGGCAGGAAUCUGCCCACUCGUCUUUGUCUUCACCGGUUCAGGAAAUGGUACAUUGAACACGACAUUCCUUUCGUGACUAUUAACAAUGUUGUCAACUUUCUGCUUCAUAUUUUUGAUGUCUUCUCCGGUUGAAGAACUAAUCUUAUGACUAUUGUAUAUACAAGUGCAUUCCUGAGGUUGUCUCACUUGUAACAAACUAUGAUACAUUUCUCAGCUCUGACGUAGGACUUUACUAGUUCUUAUGAUCUGAUUCUAUCACAAUUUGUUCCCGGCUGUAGUUUCUUCUGGUGCACAGGAAAUAUUUAAGCUUCUUCCUCAUACUUUUGUGGAGCCAAGCAGACUUCCAGGAGAAUCUGGGACGGUGUGAACCAAACUCUUUCUGCAUAAAUGUUUAUGACGAAUUCCUUCUUGCCCUUGAGUUUCACAUGUUGUCCUUUUUGGUUAACCACCAGGAUGCUGCUCCACCCACCAGGACAUCAAAGAGGGUCUUCCAAGUAUAUGGUUGUAUUGUGACUUGUAAAGACAUGGUUGAACACAAAGAUCCCAAAAAAUCAUUUGACAAAGUAAGUUCACUCUUUGUCAUUUUUAUCUACUUUAUUGUUGUCAUCAUCUAAGAUAGUAAAAUACUGACCCAAAUUAUUGUACUGUGUUUCAGGCUGAUUAUUAUGCACAUCCAGAACACUACAACCCAGUUUUUCAUGAAAAGAUAGCUCCUUAUGCAUCUGUAAUUGGUCUGUAUUACAGUUCUCCAUCAAAUAAGAUACCAUGAGUCUAUUACAUUUCAUAUUGAUGAUUCAAUUUUUACGUAGAUAAAUAUAUUACCAUUUUAUUCUUUCCUUCUCUUUGGCAGUGAAUUGUAUGUAUUGGGAAAAAAGGUUUCCUCGAUUAUUGAGUACCAAGCAGUUUCAAGAUUUAACAAGGAAAGGAUGUAAGCUUGUUGGCAUCUCUGAUAUAACUUGUGAUAUAGGUGGAUCGAUAGAGUUUGUUAAUCAAACCACACAAAUUGACUCACCGUUCUUCAGGUAUAGUAUCAACAAUAAAUGAAUUGUUCAAAAUGAUAGACAAGUUAAUGAAGUUAUGUUAUAUAUCAUCUUCAACCAUGGUCUCAGAUAUGAUCCAGUAAAAGAUUCUUACCAUCAGGACAUGGAAGGUGAUGGUGUGGUAUGUUCAGCUGUGGAUAUUCUUCCAACAGAAUUUGCAAAAGAGGUACCUUUCAUAGGCAUUUUGUUCAGUAAUUGUAAUAAUCUUUUGGAAACAUGAAACAUCAAGACCAGAAAGUGAAACACUUCUCAUUUUCAUGAAACUUGUUGUGGAAAGGCUUCCAAACACUUUGGAGACAUAUUAUCCGAAUUUGUUGGCUAUUUGGCUUCUACAAAAGACAUUAGAAAGUUACCUGCACACUUGAUGAAAGCUUGCAUAGCUCAUGGAGGAACACUUACUCCAUUGUAUGAAUACAUUUCUCGCAUGCGAAAAUUUGAUGACUCAGAGUAAGUCUCAGAUCCAUCUCAUGUGUCGUACCCCAUUGUAAACACUUGCCCAUUUUUCAUUUUCUUACUUGUCUUCUUUUGUUGAUCUAAUAAUUAUUGGACUAGUCACAUGUUAACCUUCUGCAUUUACAGUGAAACAUCAAAAGGUCAUGCUAGUCACCACUUUAACAAGAAGUACACCACAUUAGUAAGUAUCUAAGAGUUUUUGGAUUAUGAUAAUUGGAUGUUGCCAAUUGCUCCUCUUUCAUUAUUGAUGAAUAUUGAUGAAUUCACUCUCUAAAUGACAGGUAUCUCUCAGUGGUCACUUGUUUGAUCAAUUUCUGAUAAAUGAGGCCUUAGAUAUUAUUGAAGCUGCAAGUGGAUCCUUCCAUCUGGUGAAGUGUCAAGUUGGUCCAAGUUCUCAUGCUAUGUCAUACUCAGAACUCGAAGUGAGUAGGCCUCAAGUCCAGUUCGAUCAUAGGAGAGAGAAUAUGCUACUUCUAUUCUCUUUCUCUAUCUGCCUAAUUAGCUCUCUACUUGGAAUUGAAUUUAGUUGCAGUAUAACUUCGGUCUGAAUAAACUAAAAUUCUUUGCUUACAUAAUUAGAUACCUUGCAUAAUAUUAUUGCAUUGCUAUGAACAGGUCGGUGCAGAUGAUGAGGAAGCUCUGAAUAAAAUUAUCGAUUCUUUGACUUCUCUUGCCAAUCCAAAUGAAAAUCAAGUGUUAAAGCAAGAGGCAAAUAGAAUUUCACUGAGGGUCGGUAAAGUUCUGGAUAGUGGAGCUAAGAAGGAGAAUGACACGAAAAAGAAGGUCGGGGUUCUAAUCAUUGGAGCAGGACGGGUCUGUCAACCAGCUGCCGAAAUGCUAGCAUCAAUUGGUGGAAUGUCGUCCCAACAAUGGUAUAAAACAUGCAUGGAAGGUGACUUUGAGGAGAACAUUGAUGUUCAAGUUACUGUUGCAUCUCUCUAUCUAAAGGAUGCUGAAGAGGUAUGUAUGUAACAAUGUUGGUAUUAGUUUGUUUAGAACGGGAUGGUGCAAGAUUGUCUAUAUAUCUCUCUAUAUUUUUUUCAUUCUUUUGCAUUUGAGUGUUUGAUACUGGAAGAUUGGAUGCAGAUCACUGAAGGUAUUCCAAAUGCAAACCCAGUUCAGCUUGAUGUGUCAGACACUAGUACUCUUCAUAAGUAUAUAUCAGAGGUAAGUACUUUUCAGAAGUACACUGAACAGGUAUGCUGAAAGUGUACUGCAAAAUGCCGGGAUUAAUGCUUGAAAGAGCAGUUAUGCAUACUCGAGAAAAUUUCAACACAUACUUGUUCAACAUAUUGUGUUUAACUUAUAAGUCCACUAUUUCUCGAGUCAUUGUCAAUUCUCUUUACCUCUUUCCUUCCAUCAUGCAGGCUGAGGUUGUUAUAAGUUUACUGCCUGCUUUUUGUCAUGUUACUGUAGCAACUGCAUGUAUUGAGGUACUUUACAGUGUCUCAAAAGUUAAUUUUACUUUGUUGUAAAGAACAGAAGCAUAGAGAUCAUGAAAGAUUCCUAGUCAUGACCGAUACAGGAUUCUUCAUGUAUUGGGCCCUGUUAUUUAUUUUGAUUUUAUUUUAGCUAAGAAUAUGUUAUCUGUACAUGCAGCUCAAAAAACACCUUGUCACUGCUAGCUAUGUUGAUGAAGCCAUGUCAAAGCUAGAUGAAAAGGCAAAGACUGCUGGUAUUACGAUUCUUGGCGAGCUGGGGUUGGACCCUGGGAUAGGUAAUGAUUUAGCUGACCAUGGACAAUUCCUUCAUAAUACAUUUCUAUAGAAAUUUCUAGAGGCAUGAUAUCACCUUCCAUUAUUCUGUCCUACUUCAGAUCACAUGAUGGCGAUGAAGAUGAUCAACCAAGCACAUGUUCGCAAGGGGAAAAUAAAGUCUUUUAUUUCUUACUGUGGUGGACUCCCAUCCCCAGCUGCAGCAAACAAUCCUCUAGCAUAUAAGUUCAGGUAUUUGUUGGAUUGGGCACACUCCUUACUUCAUGGUAGUCAAGCUUCGAUUGGAUAAGUGGUUACAAUACAGACAAGUAUAGGGUUUUAACUUCUGAUUUUAGUCCUAUGUAAGUAACUAAUCAACCAUUUCAGCUGGAGUCCUGCAGGAGCUAUCCGAGCUGGACGCAAUCCUGCCACCUAUAAAUCUAACGGUGAAAUUAUAAAUGUUGAUGGUAAGUGAGGAAAACAGAUGAUAAGUCCACUGUUAUUUGACUAUACACAACAUGGAAUCAGUUCUAUUUAGCAUAGGAAGAUGUCAUUAUUUUGGAGGUCUUUGUUCAGCCUUUCACUUUUAUGAUACAAAAUUACAGGUAAGAAUCUAUAUGAUUCAGCUGUGAAGUAUCGGUUACCUGGCCUUCCAGCUUUUGCGCUAGAAGGCCUUCCGAAUCGUAAUUCACUAGUUUUUGGAGACUUGUAUGGCAUUGGAAAGGAAGCAUCAACCGUCUUUCGUGGAACCCUUCGCUAUGAAGGUAUGGCAUGCGUGACAUUUUAGAUUAACUUUUGGACAUAUACACUUGUGUACAUACUUGGCUUGAUUGUUAAGCAAGAUUUGUUAAGUAGGAUAACAAAGACAUCAGGUGGUUAGCUCAGUGUGCUAUUUUCUUACAAUUUCGCACGAAUCAUUCGAAUAGGGUUUGGCCAAAUAAUGGGAAUACUGUCAAGAAUUGGCUUAUUUGAAGCCGAACCUCAUCCACUUUUUAAGGAUGGAAAGAAACCCACACUCCAGAUGUUCUUGUCCGAUCUUCUCAAAAUGAAAAGUGAUGAAGUGGAUGGAUCUCUGAGAGGAGAGAAAGCCAUCAGUGAAAGGAUUAUCAGUCUUGGAUACAGCAAAGAGCAAGAAAGUGCAGUAAGGGCAGCUAAAACUAUAAUGUAAGCUUAUUAUCUCUUGCCAUUUCCCAUUCUUUCAGUACCAAGUAACGCUUAAAUGGACUGAAUUGUUACUUUGUGUGGAAUAGAUUUUUGGGACUGCAUGAGCAGAAAGAAAUUCCUGCCUCCUGCAAAAGUGCUUUUGAUGUCAGCUGUCUCCUCAUGGAAGAUAGGUUGGCAUACUCCAGCACAGAACAGGUAAAUUCCUCAUCAGCAAAAUUCAAGUACAGAUUUUAGUGGCCAAAAUUAUGUGCUACUGCAACUUGUGGGAUUUUUGGUCACAGGAUAUGGUGCUUUUACAUCAUGAAGUGGAGGUUGAGUUCCCGGAUUCCAAACUCAAAGAGAAACACAGUGCCACUUUACUGGAAUUUGGGACAAUUAGGAAUGGUAAAAUGGUCACUGCCAUGGCUUACACUGUUGGUAUCCCGGCUGCCAUUGGAGCUCUGGUACUUUGUUACACAUUUUUAUUCAUUACACUGUAGAGGGAGGUAUAGUGCCUAAAUGAGUAUACCUCAAUUGUGGUUUUGCAGCUCAUACUUGGAAACAAGAUCAAAACAAGAGGUGUCCUGAGGCCUCUUGAACCUGAAGUAUACGUCCCAGGUAACCAAACGAUGAAGCUUGUUUGUUUUUCAGAUUAGUCGUUUAUCAACAAAUGGUGUCUAAAUGUAGUGGUUUGUGGUCUGUGCAGCCAUGGAUAUCCUACAAGCAUAUGGUAUCAAGGUAAUGGAGAAGGUCGAGUGAUCCAAAUGAUCAACUUUCCCUGCCUUCUUCCUAUGUAUAGACUCAAUUCCGCAUCAAGUUUCAUGGAGUUGCCCGAUUGGAAACAGAACUCCCCAGGUGGAAUUAUAGAACAUAUAAUAUGUAACGGGGCUCCAAUGACAAGGUUUUGCAAAGCUUUCUUGGUGGAAAACGCACUACUUGCAAACUGGAGGAGCUUCCUAAUGCUACAUUUUUGUAUGCAAAAUAACAUUGUGAAUAAUGAACUUGACACGCUUGAUCAUAUGUCUCAAUGCAUAACCAUGAGCUCAUGGCCUCUAAUUGACCCAUGUAUAGUUUGCCGAGAAGCUCGAAAAAUUUCAGAGGCCAUCUCCAAUGGGAGGUUGCAUACUAAACUUUAAAACAUUUUUGCCAAAUGCCAUCUUAAUUGGUGGGAUAAGCUUCAUAGACCCAUCCUUGGAUUGCAAACUACUAACUUAUGUUUCUAGAACAAUUAGAUGCUACUGUUGCAAUGUGACAAUGAGAUAAGGUUGCCUCACAUGCAAACACAACCCAGAUUUACUUGCACAUUUUCGGUUGGAGAUGGUUUACAUAUAUAACUCACUAUUUGCAUGAACAGUAACAAUGACUCGAUGAGGGUUGCAAUUUUCAAAAUAGAACAUCUAUUUACACCUUCACUCUUCAACUGGAGAUGGCAACGCCUUGCCCUUUUAGUUUUAGGAUGAUAAUAAAGAAUACGAUCAAGAUCAAUCUAAAAAAUAAAAUCAGAAUUCGUACACUUCAAAAUUAAACAAGAAUGGCUUCAAACAGCCUUCUUGAAAUCAAAUGAAUGAAAAUUGUUGAAUUAAUUUCGCCAUCGUCCAUAUAUACAUCUCUUUUGAGUUUUCCCUUUAGCCCCUACUCUCUUCCUAAAUAUAAAAAGAUAAUGAACAAAAACCAGUCCUGGCUAGACCAGUUGACAUUGUGUUAUCUGGCAAAUACCAUUAGUGUGCGCCUUCCAUCAUAAGUAUCAAUCUGAGAACUAGUCCCAAGGGACUCUGAAGAGGGAAUCGUUUUUUUUUUCUUCACCUCUCAUCAUUAUCCUACGACAGUUUUCACCAGAAAAACCAAACCUAUUUGCCUGGACUUCAUAAAGCUUCUUAAUCAAGACUAAUACAGGUUUGCUUUUUUCCAUGAGGUGCUUGCCAAGCAUUAGAAUGAGCGCAACGUAUCAUGACAAACUAGUGAUCAAUCUUGUAAGAUGUCAGAAAAAACCUACGAAGUAACCCAUGCCAUUAAUUGCUUCUCCACUGCUUCCCAGUUAUGAACCUUGGUCACCAGGGGAUGUAGAUCAACAGAAUCGGUCUUGCACCAGGGAUAUGAGUUCUCAAAAUCAAAAAGUAGAACCCUGAUCCCAACUUCGGCACAUUCAAGUGCAUAUCUUGGAUUGUCAUCAAUCAGAACCGUUGCUCCUAGAGACCUGCAAAUCCAUAUCAUCAGAAUAGAGCCUGUAGUGAUACUAUAAGGUACUCCACAAAAUGAGCAAGCAUGCAAACAUGCACCAUACAAUUUUGGUUUGGGGAAAAGGAUAUUUGAACACCACAUCCACUUUGGACUGUAGAAUCUGUAACAUACCUGCAUAUUUCUGACUUAGGCCUUGAUUCUCCAUGUAGAGCAAAGUGGUUCCCAAAGUGAAUCUCCUGAAAUAGUCCUGGAAAAUGACUUUCAAUCCAUUGAAUUGUAUGGUCCUUGAUUGCAUUCUGACGAGACCUUUUAAUUUUGCAUACAUGCCGAAACAUGUUAGUCCAUGCUCAGGUAAACAUAAUCAAUAUGAAAGGAACUCAGCUAAUUGUACAUACGUCACAACUGACAGGUUACAAAAUCCUGACAACUUAUGAAGUGUCUCCUUAGCACCAGGGAGUGGAUGGAUCCCAGUCUUGAAAUAUGGUGUUUUAAAGAACUCGUGAACACGUAGAUCGGCUGUAAAAAAAAAAAUAUAUAUAUAUAUAAUAUCAACCACCUAAAUAUUUUCAAGACUUGAUGAAAGAUAUAACAGGGUAUAACAUUGCAGGUACAAGUCUAGAAAGCAGAAUCAAACCCAUAAUCAGGUCAUUAGUUUCUACUUUAAAUAUCUACCUACAUGAAAUAUAAAACAUAACCAUACGAUCCAUGUUAAAAAGGUUCACAGAACUAAGAGAUUACUUUAUUCUAAGACAUCCAGUUGGUCAAGUCAAAUGUCUGAUUACAUCAACAGUUAUGCACCCGAAGAUUUGACCUUCACAUCAAGAGAAUCUGGUGAUUCAUUUUAGAUUCAAAUAUGACCCGAACCAAGAUGUAAUUCAUUUUAUGUAGAAGGUCAACUACAUUAGCUGCUAAAAGUCCUCUAUUUUUUUCUUUUUCUUUUCUGAAGACCUCCUACAUGUCCUCUAACAUCAUAAAAUGCUGAUCAUAAUGACAAUGAUUAUGUAACCACAUUACAAUGCAGGACAGUAAAAAGGAUAAUGGGCACAGUAUCAGUACCUUCAUCACGGGAACAAUUCCAUAUCUGCAACAGAAACAAUACCAUCCAUCACAAUAUGCUCACUAAAACGUAAACAUGUCACAAUAUGCAAAACCAACAAGACACCCUGACAUCAUAUAGCACUAAUCCAUUAGCUCAAUACCUUGAAGAACUCAUACACAUGGUACUCCGAAACCGAAUGGUUCGCCGCGUAACGAUCAGCAAUGAACCUGUUGAGCGCCGACACAAAGUUCCCCAGAACUGCACACCCAAACAUACAAACACAACAUCAAUCACAUAUCAUCGAAAACAAACCAAACCACAAAACAAGUGAACCUCCAUACCCUCAUCCACAUCAACCGCCACCACAAUCUUCUCCCUCCCCAACAAACUCUGACUAUGAAACCCGUUAAUCUUCCUCCCCGGAAACCUAACCUCCCCGGAUCUCCGUAUCUCCAAAUCCACGUCCCUUACAGCAUUACUCUUCAAUCUUUUGUUCUCACUCCCAACACAACACUUGACGCUCAAAUCACCUCUACUCUGAUUCCGAAUCCGCCACGCGAGUCGAUCCAACGGCCAGCAGGGCUUCUGCGGCGGCUGAGGAAUCGGGGAUUGGGCGUGGAAUCCCUUACAGUUAUGGCCGUACAAGUACGCGGCCAUAGAGGUGAAUCGAGGAGGAAGACGAGGAGGAGGUAAUAAAGGUCGGAGCUUUGAAGGGUGUGUGAGGUAGUUAACGGCGCCUUGACGUUUCAAAACCAACAUAACGAUUCCCAAAACAAAACCCAGUCACACUCCAACCACCAUUGAUUGAUUUGAUUUGAUUGGACCCAGAAAAACCCUAAAACACUUUCGAAAUUCAAAACCCACCCAGAACGCGAAAAGCUUGAGACUUUGUUUUCUAAGUGGGGUUGGGUAUAUACCGUAUAUUCAUGGCUUCGUGCUCCGAGAAACCCUGCAACUCUGAGCCAAUCAUAUAUAAAAAAAAGUUUGUAACUUUAAUUUUAAUUUUGAUUUUUUGAGAAAAAUAAAAUAAAAUUAUUGGUUUAAGCGAAAAUCCGGGAUAGAUUUAUGAUUCACGUUCCCUCCUUUUUCAUCAUUUGUUUGUUGGAUGGGGAGUGGGGCCCAGAGAUGGAGGAUCGGACGGUGUUGGAUGGACUGACUUUCCGGCACCGUUUUGGCGAUGGCCAUCCGUGUCUUUUUCUUUUUUUGUUUUUCUCGAUUUUGAUGUCUGGGUUUUCUUUGGCCAUGGAAAUUUUUAUGCUAAUAUUGGGAUUCCUCGGGUAUUGGGGAAUCGAUUUUGUAUGGUUAGAUGAAAAGGUCGUUUGUUUGUUUUGGCAUUCUUGAGCCUUGGGCCUAUGAUUCCACUGAUUUUUUGUUGUUGGUUGAUGCGUGAUGGUGUAGAUUGUAAAAGAUGGAGAUGAAAAUGCAAGUAAAAGAAGUGAUAAUGGAGAGUUACUUGAAGUUUUACAUCUCUGCAUUCAUUUUCUUUAUGAACAUAAGGAAAUACAUAAAUAAGUAAUAAUGACACGUUUCUAGUUUUAAGAAGCUCAAAUUUAUGCAACAGUAUCACUUUUCUAAAAAAAUUUAAAAAUAGGUGCGAGAAAAAAAUGUUACGUAUCACUACUUGAUUGAUUGAGGACAAAUGAUUCAAGGAAGUGCAACUCCAUAAGGAAGUCCAAUUCGGACAAUGUGGACACUUAAAACUUAGAUGAUCAAUGUGGACAAUAAUACAAGGACAAGUAAUGCCAUCACAACUGUUUGGGAGCUAUGCUCACUAAGUCCUGCAGCCACUGAAGAAGGAGGCCGUCUAGGAGCUUUCUGGUGCUUGGACAGAUCGAUCAUGAUCUCAAAUCGACAAGUCGUGUUCUGGCCACUCGACGUUGGAGAUGGAUCGACAUUUGUGGUGAUCGAAAGAUUCGAGAAUUGGCACGCAUCUUUGCGUUGGUCCUUGGUUUGGUAGUACAUAUUGAAAGCAUAAGAAGCAUUGCUCCUUGCGUCAAGCAUUCCGCAAGAAGAACCAUAUCCAAGACUAGUGCAAUCGGCAUAAGAGCAAGCAUAGUUGAUGCUGCCGGCCAAAUUGGGGUCGGAAGUGCUUGCUGUAGGUGACAUUAUGCACCAUUGUCUUGCCAAGUAUUGCACUCCUUUAGCCGCGACCAUAGCUUUUCCAUUGCCUGUGUUCAAGGUACAUGUCAAAGUUAGCACCAAUGUUGAGGAUUGUCAAAUUGUACCAAGUACUAACAUAACAUUUCUUUUUUUGAAUGAAACAUAACGUUUCAACUACAUAGCACGCAAAGGAAGAUUACCCUUGAUAUAAAUCAUAUAAUCUCAAUCUAGAUGAAAGAAAUGAAUGAAACUACUCAGAAAAUAUCGAAAAAUUUCAAAAACAUUACCAAAGUCUCGAAGAAUAUACCUAUAUCCAAGAAGUAUUUAAGUGAUCCAUCAUAGUUGAAGACGCCCCAAUGCCGCUCAAAAUUUCCAGGUUGGACGCUCUUGGCAUCUUCAUCAAUGAGUCCGAAUAUGUAUAUGUCAGGCGGGGUUGACCUCUUUGGGGUGCCUUGCCCUGCAACUAUACGACCCAAAAGGCCUUGAUUGAACCUUCUUGCGUCUUCUACGUUAGCAUUGGGGUCACCAUCAGUCGGCCACCCUAUUUCUCCGACAAUAACAGGCAAAGAGGGGAAGCCAUUCUUUUCCAGGGCAGCAAUGCAAGUAUCAAAAUUGGCGUCAAGAACAUUGGUGUAGGAAAUGGAGCCAUCCACAACAGGUUUUGCACCGUUGUCAAAAAAGGCAUAUUCUUUAGGGAAGUCAGGGUCAGCUUGGAGACUAAGGAAUGGGUAGAUAUUGAUAGUGAGAGCACCCCCAUUGUCACUUAGGAACUUAAUGAUGGAGAGCACGAGGCUGUGGAUGUCGGACCGGAAGUCGCCACCAGAGGGAAGACCGGUGUCGGUCUGGUAGACGUCCGCAUUGAGUGGAACGGUGACCUUCACUUGUCUCCCUAGCCCGGCCUUUAUGAGGGCUGCUUGAAUGUUUUGGAGUGCUGGAAAUGUUGUUUUGAGGAAUGUGUCUUUGUAGGUUUUGAGGAAUGGUUCAUUUCCUACAGCAAUAUACCUAGAUAGAUUGACAUGUCAAAUAAAAUUGAGUUUGAACAUGUUUUCUCAAUAUGUUCUUAGAACGAACUUGUAGCUAUAGUAGUAAAAAAAUGCCUAGCAUCAAAUUUAGAGCAUCAAAGCUUUUAGUCUUUUACCUUAUAUCAACUCCGUAUUUGGAUAUGUAGUUCGAGACAUUCUGAUACACCCACGUCUCAGCAAUUGUAACAGUACUUGCGAGUGCUGCCAGGAACUCAUUCGGUAUUCCCAGCAUAACCUGGAUACCGGAAUUUCCUAGAGCUUCAAGCGCCCCAGGAUCAGCUUCAAAUAGCUUCACUUUGCUGAACCCAUUGUCCUUCAAAAGCUUCACAACUAUAGUAGGUGGCAAUGGGUGUGUCGCCUGGGUUCCCCAGUUGCAUGCAAAGCCACCAUGAACGCCUCUCAAAAGACCUUCACUAAAUAAGCAGAGCAACAAAACAUACAGGUAACGAAAACCCAUGUUUCCGUAUGACUUUCAAUAUGGUUUGUAAGAUAGGAAGCACACUGCUUUGGAUUUAACAGACCUAAAAGGAGGGAAAAUGACUUUUAGGAGAGGAAAGGUAAAGGAAUCACAUAAGGAACAACCCGUUUGAAUGGCUUCUGAGCUUAUUACAUUAGGAAGAAUAAUCCAUCAAGAAAAGAAUAGAGUGAACUUGUUGCAAACCAUAUUUUGGUGCUAGUGUUUCUUGGAUGGGAAACGAAAACCAACACAGAAGGAAUGCACUUUUCCUAACUAUAAAAGCGAAAAUUAUACAGCGACACCUGGGUGCGCCACGCACCCGUCCAUCUCUGCCGUCCAUUUUGAAAAAGUCAAAAGUCCGCGUCAAAUGGACGGCGGAGAUGGACGGAUGCGCGGCGCACCCAGGUGCGCUGAAUACGCUCUCCUAUAAAAGCUGCAAAGGGAAAAGUCCCUUUAGUAAUCUCCCUUCACUUUGUUACAAACUAACCAAAUAAAAAGUCUUAUGCUAUUCCUUGUUAGAAACCACCGUAAGAACUUUUUGAAUAGUACUAUCAACAUAAUUUAGGACGAACAAAUAGCUUUCACAACUGACAUAUUACAUGCUUCUACUUGUCUCAUCAUCUUUUUACAAUAUAACCUCAUCAAAACUUGUACUGAAUUCAAAUGUGGAGCUAUAUGACAUACAGUAAAUACUAAAUAGGAUAUACCAUCAUUGUCAAUUGAGUUUGGAACGAAAAUGAACCGAUGUUUAAAAGAAAUAAAACGAAUAAUUAUUCAUCUUCUCCUGAAGAAUCAAACUCACCAUAGUCCGAAUCAAACUCACCAUAGUCCCAGUAAGCUAAUGAAAUAAGUGCAUUUGGUGCCAUCCAACGCAAAGAGUCCGUGAAGGCAGAAAUUCCGGCCAUUGUUUGCGGACAACGAAGACGCACAAUGAAGACCUUUAAACGCUGGAUAUGAAGUAACGGUGGAGAGAAUGUCUUCCUGAAAUUUUCUGGAAAUGUGAGAGCUCUAGCAACGGCAUCAUGACGGAUAUCUAGCUCUACUUCAUUGCAGCAACUAAAGUUUUGAAGAAGAUUUCUCCAAGUUGGAAAAUGUGUCCUUGGGGGUUCUAGACCUUGGUCAUCAUCAUCCCAAUUAAGCGUGAGACUUGCAUCAAAUCGCUUUCGAGCGUUCACAGAGAUUACAUCAUUAGUCAGCAAAUAACCAUUGUAUGUAAGAUGUAGGAGAUUUGGAAUAUCAAUAAUGGCCUUCAAAUUAUGUGGACAUUUUCCGGGCAUUCUGAAGCUAGUCUUGUCCGAAUGGUGAGCACAAACACCGAUAUUUUUCAACUUGACGCAUUCAUCACUCAAGUAGAUUGAACUUAGUUGAGGAAAUACUCAAAUGAAUACAAAAGAUUCAAGGUUUUCAGCUUCAACGUUAAAAUACAUGCACUCGCAAUAUGUAACCUGCAAGAAUUCAAGACUGGAAUUAUUGACAGCAAUGCGGCACCCAUCCCCAACUGAGCUAAAAGAACACGAAACUAGCAACAAAUGCUUGAUAUAUGGAAGGACAGCCCUUCCAUAGUGAUCUAUCGAAAUCCAUGUUGCAAUCAAACAACACAGCGUAUAGGGUCAUAAUUUUCAACAACGGGAGGCUUAUCAGAUCAGUACUCUCCGGUAUUCGGACAUGCUGCAGAUUCAGAUGAGUAAGAUAUUGCGCAUUGAGAAUGGUAUGGGGUAUGCAGUUGUAUGUGGUUUCUUUGACGACUGAACUUCGAAUGCUGAUAUAUAACUCCUUGGCGCGUCUAUCAACCACAAAACUAAACCACUUGUCUAAUCUUGUCGAGUCUAUUACUUGAGAAUCAUAUCUCAUUCGAAGCAUGAACCUGUCCAACUCCAACAGCUUGGUUCUCUCAAAAUGUUUCAAAGAAGUCCAUGAACAACAGCUUCCUGCGGUCAUCGGAUUCUCCCUCGUCAUCGAAAUAUAAGAAGGGGACUCCCAAAGACCACACGCUUGCCCAUUGUUUGGAAACAAUGCUUGAGCGUAUGGCAAGUUUUGUGGGAAUGAGUCGGAAAAUCUUUUCAAGAAUAAGGUCUGGAAGGUGAGGUAGCAAUGUGUCCGCGGCCAUGGCGUUUUGAUCAACCUGCUCAUGGUCUUGCUUUUUGAGCCUUUUGUUAUCAGGGUUUGCAUUGCUACUCGGCACCAUGUAUAUAUCUGGAUGAAUCGAAAGAGAGAUUUAGGAAACUAAAAGAAAACUCUUAUCAUGUAUACACCAAUUUCUUUUGAAAAAAAUCAAUGAAACAUUUGGAACUAUAAAGACCGAUCGAAUUAACAUGAUAAGAUUUCAUUCUGUAUGUUUAUCGUAAUCAGCAGUUGAUAGUAGUUGGUGAAAUCAAAGCGAUAACAUUAACAUAUAUAACCCAUACCUCAAUCUGAGUAAGCCUAGCCUUGAUAUCCUGGUUUCAGAUCGACGACCCAGGAUCGGAACUUUGUUUUCCUUCCUUCACGGAUGCACUGUAUAGUGUGUUGUGACUUAUAGGAAUCCCGACUCCUUGUGAAUGUGGAAUUUGUAUUAACAAUUUAUCUUGACCUAACGCAGUAUUUGGUACAAUCUGCCGUAGAUGGAUACAAUGUGUGCAUAUAUUUGCAUAUGGGCAAACAGUUUCUGGGACGACAUGUACCAUUUAUGGUACAGAAAGUAAUCGUAGUCUUAGCCCUACAGCUACUGCAGAACUUUUUAAAAUCUUGAAGCGAGACAACAACAAGUUCUCAUUUUCUUUGAAGGUAUAUUCUCAAUUUUAUAGAAUGAACACACUUGUUACCACUAAAGUUUCUGCAAUAUGUUGCAUUGAUGCAUCUUUAAUAGCCCUCAGAAGACUAGUUUGUACUAGAAUAGCUAAAUCCUUCGAACUUUUCACAAUAAAAUGACAUUAAAUAUAUUCUUAUUGUUUUUUUUUUUCAAAGAAUGAAUUUACUUCAUUGAUCAAGAAUCAUUACAUUCAUUAAAAAUAAGCUCCUCAACAAAUAGAGGAGGUACAAUAGAGAAACCCAAAUUCAUUCUAGUAUGCAAAGCAGCCUACGCCAAAGAGUGGGCAGCUAUGUUAGCAGUUCGGCGGACAAAAGACAAACUAGCAGCCGAUGCCAUCCUCAGUCCUUCACGCAGAUCAUCCAUAAGGAAUCCCAGGACAAAUAUGUUAUUGUUAAUAUAAUUAGUUUCCUCCAAUAUUAUAAUCAAAUUAAUUUGUAUCAUAAAAAACCAACUGGACUUAGAAGCUAUAUCAUUUUAUUUCUUACAUACCUUUAAAUAUGACAAAGUCAUUGUUAAAUUGUGAUCGUCAGAAAACAUUUUUAAACAGCAGCAAUUCACAAAUCAUGAAUGAACUAUGUUGGUUAACCAGAUGGACUUUAUAGUGAUAGCAAUGUUUUUUGCUCCCAUCAAUGGGUUUAUAGCGUCUCACUAGAGAGCUCACCCGCACUCUGCAGAGAGAGAGAGAUGGGCAAUUUUGUAAAUAACCGAAAUUAGAGGACAUAACGAUAAUUGAAUGAUAGUUUUAUAAAUAAAAUAAAAACAGGGGCACAUUGAUAAUUUUCAAGACUGUAGUGGCAAUUCUGUAAAUAAGCGAAAGAAGGGACAAAAUGGUAAUUUUUGGAAAAUAAACAUUGUAGCUACAGUUAAGCAGCUUGCUGGCAAAUAGAGUAUUGUAAAUGUUACCCACCCACCAAAACACAUGGCGAAUAAAAAAGAAAAAAAGAAAAAAAAACUGACUUUCCUGAGUUUAUCUAUUAGAACUGGAAGGAAAAAUAAAGCGAAGUGAUAUGUUGUGCAACCCCCUGCAACAUAUUGUCAUUUAGCCUUUGAAUUCAUGUAUAUAUUGUAAUGCAGGCAUAUAUGGUGGAGAAAUGUCAUGAACAAAGGUGCAGAAAUGUCAAUUAGAAAAAAAUGUGACUCACAAAGCAAGUACCGAUGCUUGUCUCAAUCCUAGUCAGACAAAUUUACUAAUGUCACUAACUCACUCAACUUGGACAAAAUUUGAACAGACCAUCUUCUGUGUCUGUUUUUUUAGUGUUGGGGAGGGUUUGAAGAAGAAGGCUGAUCAUGGUCGGUAUUUGCAUUUGGGUUGUUGUGAUGCUACGCGAGAUAAUACUGGUGUAAAUCAGACCAAAAAGUAUCAAGGGGAAUUUCCUUGUGUGUUGGCAUGCAGUAUCUGCUGGAAACCAAGGUGAACUGAGUCUUUAGGUUGUAAACCAUAUUUUGGUGCUAGUGUUUCUUGGAUGGGAAACAAAAACCAACACGGAAGGAAUGCACUUUUCCUAACUAUAAUUAGUUUCCUCCAAUAUUAUAAUCAAAUUAAUUGGUAUCAUAAAGAACCAACUGGACUUAGAAGCUAUAUCAUUUUAUUUCUUGCAUACCUUUAAAUAUGACAAAGUCAUUGUUAAAUUGUGAUCGUCAGAAAACAUUUUUAAACAGCAGCAAUUCACAAAUCAUGAAUGAACUGUGCUGGUUAACCAAAUUGACUUUAUAGUGAUAGCAAUGCUUUUUGCUCCCAUCAAUGGGUUUAUAGUGUCUCACUAGAGAGCUCACCCGCAGAGAGAGAGAGAGAGAGAGAGAGAGAGAGUAGUUUUUGAAAAUAACCGAAAUUAGAGGACAUAACGAUAAUUGAGCUGGCCACUCAUUUAUAGUUCUUUAAAUAUUAAAUAAAAUAAAAACAGGGGCACAUUGGUAAUUUUCAAGACUGUAGAGGCAGUUUUGUAAAUAAGUAAAAGAAAAGACAAAAUGGUAAUUUCCGAAAAAUGAAUAGUGUAGCUAUAGUUAAGCAAUUCGCUGGCAAAUAGAGUAUUGUAAAUGUUACCCACCCACCAAAACACAUGGCGAAUAAAAAAGAAAAAAGAAAAAAAAAACUGACUUUCCUGAGUUUAUCUAUUAGAACUGGAAGGAAAAAUAAAGCGAAGUGAUAUGUUGUGCAACCCCCUGCAACAUAUUGUCAUUUAGCCUUUGAAUUCAUGUAUAUAUUGUAAUGCAGGCAUAUAUGGUGGAGAAAUGUCAUGAACAAAGGUGUAGAAAUGUCAAUUAGAAAAAAAUGUGACUCACAAAGCAAGUACCGAUGCUUAUCUCAAUCCUAGUCAGACAAAUUUACUAAUGUCACUAACUCACUAUAUUCAACCUGGACAAAAUUUGAACGGACCAUCUUCUGUGUCUGUUUUCUUAGUGCUGGGGAGGGUUUGAAGAAGGCUGAUCAUGGUCGGUAUUUGCAUUUGGGUUGUUGUGAUGCUGCACGAGAUAAUGCUGGUGUAAAUCAGACCAAAAUGUAAAGUAUUAAGGGGAUUUCCUUGUGUGUUGGCAUCCGGUAUCUGCUGGAAACCAAGGUGACCUGAGUCUUCAGGUUGUAAACCAUAUUUUGGUGCUAGUGUUUCUUGGAUGGGAAACGAAAACCAACACAGAAGGAAUGCACUUUUCCUACCUAUAAAAGCUGCACAGGUAAAGUCCCUUUAGUGAUCUCCCUUCACUUUGUAACAAACUAACCAAAUAGAAAAACUCUUCUGCUAUUCCUUGUUAGAAACCACCAUAAGAACUUUUCAUUUAGUUUAUCAAACAUUAUUUAGGACGAACAAAUAGCUUUCAUAACUGGUAUCUAUUUCUGGGUAUUUAAUCAGAGAUACUUACAUUAAAUAAUAACAAAAAUGAUGACUAUAAACCCGACUCAAAUCUAUGUUCUCCCCUUUCUGUUUACUUCCUUUUCUACAUUAACAUCAUUACAACAAAAUUUACUGGGGAAGGUGAAAUUUGAAAUAAGAUCAUAUACCUCUAUACGAAGAAAAUGAUAUUUAUAGGCAAAGGAGAAAGAAUAUUAGCCGAACAAAAUUAGACAAUCAGUGUAUAGAGACUUGAAGCGGUGAUCCUGAUGUUUGGGACGCUAGUCAAGGUGGCGAGAAAAGGAAACAGCAGCUAGGGCAGUAGUGCUUUCAGUUGUGCCCUAAACAGAUCACCGAGAGCUCCACGAAUAUCCAUCUGAAGAAAUGAAGGCAAUUAUAAGUUUCCCCAAACAUAUCCUAAUCUCUAAUUAGUAAAUGAUUAACUGUUGAAGUGAAGCAUCAAAGCAUGAAUAUGGCAGUAUUGAAUUAACAAACAAGGAAAUAGGAGAUUACCUGGUCGCAGCAUACAAGUUUUGUAAGCAAAGGAUAGAAGUCUCUCAGAUGUCUUCUGAAAAUCUGUGGGUUCAUAAAGCACAUGCCUUUGAGCACCUGAAAAGUCAAUACAGUAAGAAAAUUUACAUCUGUAAUAUGAAGGAGGCAACCAUAAGCCAUUUUGGUAGAAAGAAAAAAAGACAGCCGUUAACAGUUCAUACCUUAACAAUUAUUGGAGAUCGUAACUCCAGAACACGGUGAAUAUCCAUAUUAGUCACAUCUCCAGAACUGGACUGCAGCUCAGAUGCCUCCCUGAGUACUUGUUCGCAGAAAGACACAAGUUUGUCUUCCGCUAAUCCUUCAACAUUCUCUUCAGCGCUUGAAUCAUUAGUUUCUGCAAGUCCCUCUUGAUUGGCAGGAAACUGGGAAGUUGCUUUCUGUAAGAUGUCCAGAUAUAUGCAAGUUCCUGUUAACUCUUGGCGAAGAAGAUUCAAAGGUGGCCUGUCCAAUGGUUGGAUAGUCAGAAACUAUGUUCUUGAAGGAGAUAAAUUUCACAGAAAAGUACUUGCACACAAAUUUUCAUCCUACCUCUCAUCAGAAAUUUGGUGCAUGCGUGUUCUGAGAUUUGUAUAUGAAUUGUAGGAAGCUGCAAAUUCUAAUGCAGACAACAAAAUGUCCAAUAUAGCAAUCUUCUGUGGUGCUUUCAACUUGCUCCAGUAUUUCUUCUGCAAAUUAUAUAGUGGUUAUAUUAGCAAAAAGUUCUUGAAGAUUUAAAAGUUUAGGAUUUAGAGGGAGAGAGAGAGAGAGAGAGAGAGAGAGAGAGAGAGAAAUAAAAACAGACCUGGAUACUAUCAAUGGCUCCCAGAAGUAAUAAUUGAGUAAUGCAUUUGCCCCUACAAGUUCCCAAUACAGAGCUUUCCUCCUCAUCUUUGAUAUCAGGUUCAGCAACAUCAGCAACCUAUGCAGCAUAUCAAAAAGACACGACAAAUAGCAAUCAAAACAUGUGCUGAAACACACAUGACAAAGCCAUAAAAUCUAGACCACAAAAAAGAACGACAAAGCCAUAAAAUCUGGGUUGUAAUCUGUGUAACAAGAUUAGCAGAAGUAAUAUGCUGUAACAUUAUACCUUAACUGGAGAAGAUGGUACUGAAGCAUCAGAACUCUUGGGCUUAGAUGAAAGAUUUCUGAGAAAGAGGUUACCCAUAAUUCUUUGACCAAUUGUUUGACUACGUUGGAGGUUUUCAUCAUCAGCAGAUUUUGAAGCACUUCCUGACGGUGAGUUAAGGCCUACAAGACAGAAAAAAAAAAUUAAAAUAAAAUUCAAGUCAUUCAUCAACAAAAACUCAUAAUCUACAUUCAUAAAGAGUUGGUUUAAACAUCAUUGACUCCUCAAGUUCUAUGUCUGAUGAAUGAAAACUACCAUAAAAGCAGUCUUAGAAUUUGAACGUUAACAAAAGCCAUUUUGGUAAACAUGAAAAUUCAUAUAUAAUUUCAAAAAUCUGACCUUCAGAUCCAUCCAAGUUCAUUUGCACCCCUGAUUCAACUGAUGCAUUUGGAUUUCUAUCAUAGUCUCCCCCAUCAUAGUCAGACAUUAAAGAAGGACCACCGGAAUUGACCUCUAAAUUUAACGUCCUCUCAUUCUUCAGGUUCUCAAAACCCAAGGCAUUUAACAGUUCAAGUGGUUGCGUUGUGUACAAAGCAUCUCUGAAUAACAACAAGAUCAGUAGAAUAGAUAAUUAAUCAGAAUUAGAAUGACCAGAAAAGAUUUCCAGAUAAUAAGAGAUACACACCUUAUGCUUUUCAAUAAUGUAUCCCAAUCACUCUCACUAAAUUGAUGUCCUCCAACUUCAAUUAGAUGCACCAGUGCACCCAGAGAUAACGAAACCACAGCUUGAUCAGUCUUUUUGGCACAAUCUAACAGUAGACUGAGUAGUGGUGGCAACAUGAAACAUACCUCCUGCGCAUGGGAAAGACUGUCAGUCACACUAAUUUCCAAACACCAGCUUAAAAUUUAUAAAACCCUUCUUAUACCUCCAAAGCCAAUAAAUUGAAAAUCAGUCUCCAUUCGAUUUACUACAGGUUCGAAAAUUACAAAUCCACAUUUAUUUCCCCUAAAAAUGGAUAAUUCUUCACAAAACAAGCAACAAUUCAAUUUAUAAAGCUAGUUUUUAUCUCAAACCUACCUUGUAAAAAGUGUUGAAAAGGUUGCACAGCAACUGAAGUGAGUGAAUGCUUGUUUCACGGAACCAUUCCUCAUCAGAAGAAGCCGAGCUUUCCUUUCCAGCAUGUCUUACAUGGUCAAAUAUGGGAAACAAGACACGAUGGAAGAUGCUCUCCCAAAAGGAUGAGGAGAACUUGUUACCUCUCUCAUUCAGUAGAUCAAAUAAAACUUCAAGCGCACAGCUUCUGACCUCUGGCCUUGUAUCUGAUGUCAGGUCAGACAGACCAGCCAGCAUUGGGAACCAAUAAUGCUCAGUCACAUCAAAGUUUGUUGUAUCAUUAUCUUCUAUAGGCUUCAAAGCACCACCAGGUAUAAGACCCUGAAUUGGACAGACCAAAGGUUAAACAGGAAUGUCCGGAUAGCAAAUAGACAGGGUACCAAUAAGCCAGAAGCAACUGAAAAACCAUAGGCAUCCACACAACCCACAAUAACCAAAUCCACCAAGCCCAAUACCAGUGAAGUUUUUUGUUAUUCAAUGGGAAGAGAGUAAUUAAAAUAUCACAUCAAAGGCAAAGUCUUUCUUCCUAAUCAUUUGACCAUGGGUGCAGUAUCCCACAACUGCAUGUGUUGUGUCAGGUCAAACUGACAAAGCCACAAAGCUCAGCGGAAUCAUUUUGUAAUUAACUUUAUCAGCUUCAGCGGCAUUAUUAUGGAUUCGGUGUCACCAUUAGUCUGUUUAUAUUUUAACAUUAUAUCUUCAAAACAAAGAAAGACCAACACACCUCAGCCAAACGAUCCUCACAUAUGCGCAGGAGUGCAAUAGCCUUCAAACUUAUACGGUGUGAAGUUCUAUUAUUGGCGAAUCGGAUAAGACAGUUGACACAGUCCAUGAAACAAUCUCCAACAACUUGAUCAAAGUGUUCCAAGAUCACUGCAAGUUUCCGGAUAUUAGAUAUAUUGAUAUUGUAAGGACGGGGAAAACCAUCACCGUCAUGAAGAUCACAGUAAGGAAAAUAAAUUAAUACCUUGUUCGACAUUUUCAAAUGCACUCUCAACAAUAGAUUCCAAUUCAUCAUCUGCAGAAGCUGUAAAAAUCAUGAAAACACUACGCCAACCAGACUUGAUGCUCCCCACUUUAGAUUUUAUCAUCUGCAAAUGACAGCAGAAUAAUUUUGUUUUCAACAGAGCAGUUGUACAUUGAGAAAAAUAACAAUAAGAAACGGAAAGUGCAAUCAGGAAAGCAAAAUAUGAAGACAUACUUGAACAAUGCAGUCAACAAUUAGGCCCCUUAUGGUUUCACUUCGACUAUUGCGCAUAAGUACAACGAAAGGCUUAAGAAUGUCAUUUUGGAAUGUGAAAUUUGCAAGUUCAGCUCGCUCCAGAUACUUCAUACCAAGCUGCCUCAGAGAAUCUAUCGCAUACAUAGCAAUUUUCUCAUCAUGAUGACUCCCAGCUGAAAUAAAGUGGUUUGCCAAAACAGACCAUAUUCUAGCCCAGACCUGUACGACAAAUUAGUGGAAACGUUCAAACGAUGAAGAACACAACUGAAUCACACUUACUGAGUUAUAGUUAGUGAUGACCAUCUUCAAGUGAACAUACAACUUUUACCAGCAAGACAAGAGGUUCCAGUAACAUAACAUACCAUGCGUAUACGAGCCAUGUUGUAGUAGCUGAUCUCAACAAGUUUCUGCAAGCUAAAAACCCGAGCUGGACUUUGUUUUAGUUCUUCAGCUGAUACACCACAGAGUGCAGUGAAGAACUCCACUACAGAAUCGCUGGGAAGCUGAACACUAUUCACAAAUACUUGCUCAGAAGGUUUUCCUGCCAAUUCUCUUAGAGAUUGAAGAACAGCAUCUUUUGAGAUCUGGUUUGAUCCCUGCAUGACUGUUGCAGCAAUAGCAGGUGUUGAACUAAUGAAUUCAAGCCGCGAAACACAUUCCAAAACUGCAUUCCAAGUGUCUUGAAGGGACCCAGUCUCUGAGUCACAAAGAGCUAGUAGAGUCCGCAAUGCUUCCACAUUUUUACUACGCAUUUCCUUUGGAGCAUGCAAGAAUGUAAAUCUGAGAAGCAAACCAAAAGCUGAAAUGAGCAUCAUCAUGAACAUUGCUACACAGAUUAAAUCAGUGAAUACAGAAUCUUUCCAUGUAGGUCAACAGAAGAGAAAGGCAGAUAGAUCUAUAUGAUGACCCAACUAUUUUACCUGACGAGAGAUGUUAAGAAUGCAUAGCGCAUGGUGUCCAUUCCCAGAACGUGUGUAAUGUGUAUUCCUGCUUUAAAUCCUUCCAUGCAGAGAACAAUCCUCGACUUAUUAUCACCCUCUUCCAUUGUAACAGAAAAGGUAGCAAGCAAAGGCCAUCCAACAGCUUCUACCAUAGGCCUUACAAGUUCUAUUUGCUGUGUAGUAUGGAAGACCCCUCUUUUUGCUCCUUGAUUCCUAAAUAUAUCUUGUGCUCUCUUUAUGAUAGCUUCACUUUCAGACUUGGUAUCAGAAGACACCGUUCUUCUGGGAAGAGCCAGAUUAAGAAUACUGACAAGGCGUCCUCUCUCUUCACCUUCUGGCUUAUAUUUGCCACUUUUAUCGAGACUAGUACUCUCAUCUUUCAUCUUUAUCUCUUCUUUAACAAUUGAGUCAUAGAUUUCUUCCAGAAGUUCUUUUGGAGCACAAUCUUCUGGAUCUUCAGUAGCAUUCAUGCGCAUGAAAUCUGACUUGGACAUCUUAGGCCAUACCAUUGGAUUAUGCGCAUCAGUAUUCAACAAAAUAACUGCAUAUGCAAGAACAUAUGCCGUAUCUGCAUUUUUGAAGAGGCCUGGAUUAUCUGCACAGUAUCUGCAUAUGCAACGUGUUACUGUCCAGCAAUCAAAAGGGCAUACAUCACAGUACAAGCUAGAUGCCUAUUCAGUCAGAAAUUAUAUAAAGAUGUAUAAAGGAUAAUGCAUUAUGUAAGCAUUAAUCAAAUGCACAAGUGCACAACCAUGCAAGGAAGAUUUGUGCACACAAGUAUAGACGACAGACAACAACAAUAAAAAACAGAAAAACUCAGUACCUUUCUGCAAACUUUUCCAUAAUGCGAUCUAUCUUUUGAGCUUCCCCUGGAAGUCGGAAUCCUUUGAGAAGUUCACGAAUUGCAGUAUCAAACUUCAUUCCCGAAAAUUUCAUGGAAUCUACAUAAGCAUGCAUGACAGAAAGCGGGAAUUCUUCAUGAUGGCCCAAAUAUUCCCCAAUCAUAGCCUGCAAAAAUGAUAAGCACUAAGAAGUCUGUAUCACUGUAGAAACAUAACUAUGAGACAAACAGAAAUCCAACCUUGUCCAAACUGGGAGUACUUCUCAAAAAUUGGGCAACUGAACUAGGUGUGUUUUCCACUAACUUAUUUGAUCUUAGAUACUCUACACCCUUUACCGGUCGCCUGUUGAACUGCAACAUAUUAAAUCAACAAAUCAGUUGUAGAGUACAAACAGAGCAGUUGUGAUUAAAUAUAAGCAAAACAAUCAGGAUAUCAUGUUAAGCUGAUCAAUUACCUCAGAGAUCGCAGCUUCCAGUGUAGACUUAUGAGCUUUUGCCUUCUCAAAGUUAGUGGUCAUAUCUUGCCUGCUUUUCACAUCAACAGACUCUCUGUCUGAAGCAUCUCCUUCCAGAGACUGAGCAUUUUUACUCUGGUUAUAUGAUUCUCCACGUGACAUUUCCCAAUCUACGAGUGAUUUAAGCACAUUCACAAGACACUGGCAAGGUCAAGGAAAAAGGGGUCAUCCAGGAACCUGUGCUACCAUCAAUGAAUAUAUAGGAGCAAGAAACCAUAUGAUGAACUAGCGAAUCUGUGAAAGGAGUACACCGUUAAACAUACCUGAAGAGAUGAUCCUUUUAUUGAAGUAGUUGGGGAUGCAGUAGCCAUAUUUGGAUCUGCAUUUUGCGUCCCUUGAGAUAUUCUGGAUAGAGUUGUGACCUAAUUAAGAGUCAGAAUACCUUGCAGUAUUAGAUGUACAGCAAUACCAUAUAUGGAUAGUAUUGAGAUCAUCAUUGGGAAACAGUGUAGGUAAAAUUAUACCAUCCGCUCAAACAAGUUUGGUGCCUCAAGAUCACAGUCAUAGUUCACAAAUAUGUCUACAAGCAUCUGAGGAUCCUUGCAAACUUUUUCAACCAUCCUGCAAACACUCAACUCAUUAGAUGACUGGGAAUAAAAUGUCAAAAUCAUGGUGAUCACAGUAUCCAUGCAGGAAUUGAGAGUAACAUUACAAGGUACUAGCAACAUGAUAACCAGGAAAGGCGAUACCUAAGAACACUCAUUUUCUGGUUCAUGGGAUCCGAGCCAUCCAGGGACCGGAGAACUAUCAAGGGAAAGAAGAUGCCUAUUUCACCCUGAAUAAAAAUUGUUGGUGUAAAGAACAGAGUAUGACGAUGUAAUUUCUGUAAGUACUUGUGAAGAUCAUAGACACACCUUGAGACUUUCUCGAAACCGCAACAAAAGCACUAAAAAAAUUCCAGUUGCAUACUGCAGGAAGGAAACUAAUGAUCAGAAGCAAAAAUCAGAUACAAUGUAUCUAAAUCAGAUGAAGAAUAUAUGUAAACCUGAAAUAUGACAGGGGAUGGCGAAACUGAAGCCCGCAACAAGGCAUACGAUAGGUAUGCUUUCACCGAAUCAAUAAAAUGGAAGUUUCUAGUAAAUGGAUGACCAACUCCUUCCAACAAACCCUGAAACACCAAGCAAUAAAUCACAUUUUUUAGAAACACUAAAAAUAAGUAAAAGCACUUUUUAUAAGUUAAUGCCAUGGAAGUCAUCUUCAUGGAUUAUACUAUCUUCUUUUCUCCAUCCCUAGUCUUGGAAGGAGGAAGCUCAUACUUGAUGAGUUCGAGAAAUUACAUCUAAACAAAACUUUCAAGUUAUUUAAUAAUAUCCACUGUGUUGUAUGUGAGCAUCUAUCCAUAAAAGCAUGCACAUAAAAUCACAAAUGAUCCGAAUAUAACCUGCAGAAGCUCAAGAGAUAAAAUCCUCGUCUUCAACGUAACUUCAUUGUUAUCUUCCUUCAUGCCCAUCUGCAAAACAAAGUUUUGAAAUUCAAAUAUGACUAAUAGGAAGCAUCAUGUUGCUUGGGCUCAACAAAUAAAAGACAUUGUACAAAAACACAAACCUUGCACAGGGUUCGGAAAACCAGUAAAGCAUCACGUUGAACUAUGCUCAUACUCUCCAGGUCAAUCCCUCUUAUAAAAAUAGAGCAUCGGUUAGGCGCAUUAUAAAUAAAUGUGCAACACUGGGUGUGUUGGGAAUACAAGAAAAAGAUAUCUUA